GACAGAGGAUGCAAGCGUUAUCCGGAAUGAUUGGGCGUAAAGCGUCUGUAGGUGGCUUUGUAAGUAAGAGGUGAAAGCCCAGAGCUCAACUCUGGAAUUGCCUUUUAGACUGCAUCGCUUGAAUCAUGGAGAGGUCAGUGGAAUUCCGAGUGUAGAGGUGAAAUUCGUAGAUAUUCGCAAGAACACCAGUGGGCGAAGGCGGCUCACUGGCCCGAUACUGACAGUCAGGCGCGAAAGCGUGGGGAGCAAACAGG
Molecule: ribosomal RNA, 254 nt
Filed under: uncultured bacterium
Lineage: Bacteria
Description: partial 16S ribosomal RNA
Rfam family: Bacterial small subunit ribosomal RNA
Source: RNAcentral